CUGGGUCGGUCUGAUUCCUUGGGCGGAGUUUGCUCACAACAACCUUGUUUGUGGUUCCACUCGUAAUAGCCCCUUUUUCUUGAACUAUGGCUUUAACCCUACUGUUCUUCCGUCGGUGUCUCCUUCCCAGGGUAUACCGUCGGUUGAUAUUCAUAUAGCCAACCUGAGAAAGUUGUGGGAUCAGACUCGACAAAUUCUUACACGUAGUUCCGCGGUGUUCAAGUCACAUGCUGAUAGGCGUAGGCGGCCUGCUCCUAUUUUUUCUCCGGGUGAUAGGGUCUGGUUGUGUGCCAGACACAUUCGCCUGAAAGUUCUUUCCUUGAAGUUUGCUCCUCGCUACAUUGGUCCUUACAGGGUGCUGAGGAGGAUCAACCCGGUUUCUUAUUUGCUGGAUCUGCCUCCUACUCUACGCAUCCCUAACUCUUUUCAUGUGUCUUUAUUGAAACCUCUUGUUUGUAACAGAUUUUCCUCCCGCUCUGCUCCUCCAUCCUCGGUCCAUGUGGAUGGUCAGGAGGAAUAUAUCAUCAAGUCCGUCCUUGAUUCUCGUAUUUCUAGGGGGAAGCUGCAAUACCUCAUAGACUGGAAAGGUUAUGGUCCAGAAGAGAGGUCUUGGGUUCCUGGUAUAGACGUGCAUGCUCCUCGUCUUCUUCGGGCCUUCCACGUUCGUUUUCCUUCUAAGCCCGGUCCCAUCCGCCCGGUGGGCGUUUCUAGAAGGGGGGGUACUGUCAGGGUACCUGUUGGUGCUGAAUCCAGGGAAGACAUCCUCUCUGUUUAGGGGCUCCCUGCCCCUAGCAUUUCGGCAUAUUCCGGCCGUUUUCGCGCCGGCCGCGCUAGCUCCUCCCCCUUUUAUGACGCGACGGCUAGCGUCGACGUCAUGACGUCGGCAUUUACAUGAAGUGCCGGGAACCGCUAUUCCGGACCUUUUGGGGGCGUGGUCCCUAUUUAGGUAACAG
Non-coding RNA from Pelobates cultripes (western spadefoot toad), 953 nucleotides. The record is from the annotation of a GenBank genome assembly. Lineage: Eukaryota; Metazoa; Chordata; Amphibia; Anura; Pelobatidae.